GACGAACGCUGGCGGCGUGCCUAACACAUGCAAGUCGAACGGAAAGGCCCUGCUUUUGUGUGGUGCUUGAGUGGCGAACGGGUGAGAAACACGUGAGUAACCUGUCCUUGACUUUGGGAUAACUUCAGGAAACUGGGGAUAAUAUAGGAUAGGAGCUCCUGCUGCAUGGUGGGGGUUGGAAAGAUUCGGCGGUGUGGGCUGGACUGGCGGCUUAUGAGCUGGUUGGUGGAGUAGUGGCUUACCAAGGCUUUGACGGGUAGCCGGCAUGAGAGGGUGACCGGCGACAUGGGGACUGAGGGACGGCCCAGACGCCAACGGUAGGCAGCGGUGGAGAAUAUUGCACAAUGGGGGGAAGCGUGAGACAGAGGCGCUGGGUGCGUGAAGACGGCCUUCGGGGUGUGAACCGCUGUCGCCUGUGACGAAGCGUGAGUGACGGUAAUGGAUAAAGAAGCACCGGCUAACUACGUG
RNAcentral lists this ribosomal RNA (468 nucleotides) under uncultured bacterium. RNAcentral describes it as "partial 16S ribosomal RNA". It matches the Rfam family "Bacterial small subunit ribosomal RNA", at positions 28 to 507 of the family's 1533-position model. The record is from RNAcentral.